GGAGCUAUUAAAUCUUAUAAAAAAACCAUUGUCUUUAGAAAUACCAUAUAAACAAAUAUUCAACAUGAUAAAAUAUCAUCUUAAGUAGGCAUAUUUCAUCAAGUAUGCAUAAACGGGUAUCAUACUGGGUAAACAGAGAAGUUGGACAAGGUGACAAUAAGAUAAACAUCAAAAAGUAUAAUCAAUGCACGAAAAGUAAGAAUUUCAUCAUAUAGAUCAAAAGGAUGCUCUAAACCAUACUUAAAUUUUAUUUCUCUUUUACUAACCUUCGCAUAAAGCCAUUACAACAUAUAUCCAAUGAGGGUAGAAGGGAUCCCCGACUACCACUAUGAAUCACCGAUUCCUUUCUCAGGUC
Molecule: long non-coding RNA, 355 nt
Filed under: Carica papaya (papaya)
Lineage: Eukaryota; Viridiplantae; Streptophyta; Magnoliopsida; Brassicales; Caricaceae
Description: long non-coding RNA (CPAP_LNC010218)
Source: RNAcentral